UCCGAGUUGACCCCGGCAGUCUCCCAUGAGUCCCCGGCAUAACCCGCUGGCAACACAGGACAAGGGUUGCGCUCGUUGCGGGACUUAACCCAACAUCUCACGACACGAGCUGACGACAACCAUGCACCACCUGUACACCGGCCAAAAAGGGGCACCCAUCUCUGAGUGUUUCCAGUGCAUGUCAAGCCUUGGUAAGGUUCUUCGCGUUGCAUCGAAUUAAUCCGCAUGCUCCGCCGCUUGUGCGGGCCCCCGUCAAUUCCUUUGAGUUUUAGCCUUGCGGCCGUACUCCCCAGGCGGGGCACUUAAUGCGUUAGCUACGGCACGGAACCCGUGGAAACAGGCCCCACACCUAGUGCCCAACGUUUACGGCAUGGACUAC
Molecule: unclassified non-coding RNA, 379 nt
Filed under: uncultured Micrococcales bacterium
Lineage: Bacteria; Bacillati; Actinomycetota; Actinomycetes; Micrococcales
Description: contains 16S-23S intergenic spacer region
Source: RNAcentral